Molecule: ribosomal RNA, 393 nt
Filed under: uncultured bacterium
Lineage: Bacteria
Description: partial 16S ribosomal RNA
Rfam family: Bacterial small subunit ribosomal RNA
Source: RNAcentral
AUACGGAGGAUCCGAGCGUUAUCCGGAUUUAUUGGGUUUAAAGGGUGCGCAGGCGGGAGAUUAAGUCGGCGGUGAAAUUUUGCAGCUCAACUGUAAACAUGCCUUCGAAACUGGUUUCCUUGUGUGUAGAUGUAGUAGGCGGAAUUUUUGGUGUAGCGGUGAAAUGCAUAGAUAUACCGAGGAACUCCGAUUGCGCAGGCAGCUUACUAAACUACUACUGACGCUCAGGCACGAAGGCGUGGGGAUCAAACAGGAUUAGAUACCCUGGUAGUCCACGCAGUAAACGAUGAUUACUAGCUGUGUGCGAUACAAUGUAAGCGGCUGAGCGAAAGCGUUAAGUAAUCCACCUGGGGAGUACGUUCGCAAGAAUGAAACUCAAAGGAAUUGACGGGG